Molecule: RNA transcript, 4136 nt
Organism: Lotus japonicus
Lineage: Eukaryota; Viridiplantae; Streptophyta; Magnoliopsida; Fabales; Fabaceae
Exons: 12
Source: RefSeq, a predicted model, not a curated record
GAAAAUUGUCAGCAAACACGUUUCCUGCGUGUUUCAUUGUCGCACAUGAUUGAAACUGUAGGUUCUUCACCAAUUCACCAUCAUCACUUGUCGGAAUUGUAGGAACAACAAUUCAAUUCUCACCGCCACCAUGUACGGCGGCGGCGGAGUCUCCAAGCUCGGCCGUGGCGCUAAGCGGCCGCAUUCUUCUUUCCCUCCAUCUCAGCGCCCUCAGCGUCCCUCCGCCGCCAACCGCCUAUCCCUAGGCGGCUCCAACAGCAAACCACCGCUGGCCGUGGAGGAGACGUUCAGCCUCGUCUCAGGCACCGACCCCCUCGCCUUCUCCAUGAUCAUAAGGCUGGCCCCCGACCUCGUCGAUGAGAUCAAGCGUUUGGAGGCUCAGGGUCUCAAUGCGCGUAUGAAAUUCGACCCCAACCCCAACAACCCCAAUGGAAAUAUCAUUGAUGUUGGUGGGAAGGAAUUCAGAUUUACAUGGUCGAGGGAACCUGGUGACCUCUGUGAUAUUUAUGAAGAGCCCCAAAGUGGUGAAGAGGGAAAUGGUUUGCUUCUUGAAUCAGGGUGUGCCUGGCGCAAGCUGAAUGUACAGCGUAUCUUGGAUGAGUCAGCUAAGAAGCAAGUCAAGAUGCGGUCAAAGGAAGCUGAACUCAAGCACAAGUCACGCAAAGCCAUUGUCUUAGAGCCUGGGAACCCACAUAUGAAGAGCCAGAUAAAGGCAUUAGCAGCAGUGGAGGCUACAACAUGGAAAAGUUACACUAAAAAGAAAGAGGCUGCACUUAAGAAAAGGAAAGUGGAGACUCUUCCAGUUCGAGACCCCCAAAAAUCUUCCCAUAAACCUGGAUUGACGUCAACAAGUACGACUACCAAGGGUAGACAUUCUUCUCCUCUUCCAUCUCCACCGGUUCAUUUUGCUGCUUCAUCCUCUCCACUGGGAGCUGUAAAUGUUUCUAAGAGCCUUGAUGAUGCUGUGUCAUCACAAAUGAUUCACAAACAGGAUUCUAAUGCUGUUUCUGAGAAAGAAAUCCCUGCCAAAACAAAAAAUGCUUUGAGGAACACACCAGGAGGCAAAGGAAAUAUUGGAUUGAAACCAAUAGAUUUGCAGGGCAUGUUAAUAUCUCUUCUAAAGGACAAGCCAAUUGGAAUGACUUUAAAGUCCAUGGUGAAAGUUGUUGGAGACACACAUCCAAAUUCCACGAAGCAAAUUGAGGCCAUUAUAAAAAAAAUUGCAAAAUUCCAAGCCCCGGGAAGGUAUAUCUUAAGGCCAGAAGUGGAUUUGGCAAACUUCAAGAAACCUCAGACUGAAAGUGGAAGGUCUCCUGAAGACAGCCAUAACCAGAUACCUGCUCGUGAAGAGUUGCAUGAUCAGAGAUCAGCUCCACAGGGAGGCGGCUUUGAAGAGAGAGUCUCGAAUGACAAUGUGGGCGAAGUAAUAGUGCAAGUAAAAUCCAAAGGGGAAGAAAAAUUAAACCCAUUGAAAAUAAUCGAUGCCCAACAUACUUCACCUGAUAUCGUUGGUGAGAAAAAAGGUUCUGAUCAAAGUGAAGGACUGGCAGGAAGCUCCAGUAACAGUGGAAGUGACAGUGAUAGUGAAAGUGACAGCAGUGAUAGUGGAAGUGACAGUGGAAGCCAUAGUAGGAGCCGAAGCAGAAGUCCUGCUGGAUCAGGGAGUGGGAGUAGUAGUGACAGUGAAAGUGAUGCAUCUUCCAACAUCAAGGAGGGGCUGGAGGGUUCUGAUGAGGAUGUAGAUAUUAUGACUAGUGAUGAUGAAAAAGAGUCAAAGCACAAAACAGAAGCCUCUGAUCAAAGGAUGUCCUUACCUGUGCCAGUAAAAUCUCCUGACAGAAGAUCUAUGCCGAUUGAGGUUGAUGAGAAGCAGGAUGCUAAUGAAUCUGAUGCUGUUGAUAUUGAAAAAGACUCACCUGAGGAACUGGAACCUGAAAUGCCUCCAACUACAGCUACCAUUUCUGAGAAAGGUGAAAAAUAUGCAGAAGAGACAAAAUCUUUUUCACCUGAUUAUCAGCAGGUCCAGGAGCGCCAAAAGUUUAUAGGGAGUUUGUUUGAUGAAAGGGAAAAUGAGGUUAGAGAUAGCUCAAGGCAUGAACAGUUUGUCAGCUCUGAUAAGUCAUGUAAAGGUAAGCAUAAGAGGGGUUCUGAUGCGAAGAACAUUGAUGAGAAAUAUGAACGUAUAAAGAGGUUGAAAGCAGGAAACUUGACUCAUGGAUCAUUUUCUCCUGGUACAGAUGUACAGUUGUUUGAGAAUUCUCAAAAAGGUUUUCCUGUCGAAUUUACUAAAGACACUUCUCAGGCCCCCACUACACAACUGGUGAGUAGAGCUGAUAGACAAGGAAAGUCCAAUGUUGGUUUACAGGAAGUAUCCAAUCGAGCAUUUCCUGGAAAAUCUAGUUCAGAUUUUCCACAAACUGUUCGAAGGUCCUUUGACCAAGCCCCUCUUGAAAACCCAAACCCAUUGGAAAAAUCAGAUAAACAUGAUGAAAGCAUGGGGAACGGAAAAAAACACUCAGGAAAAGACUUUCAUGUGUGUGAAGUUUCUUCUAUGCAAAAAGAUAAAUCUCGUAGAGAUGCCCAAAAUGAAAAUAUCAAUGCCGUUGAGAAAAAAGCCCUUAGGAACUCCAGGGACGGUAGCAAUGGAAGUAAGCAGUCACUAUUUAUGGAUUCUAAUUACCAAAAACAAGGUGAAAUGGUUAGUAAGUCAAAGGAAGGGCGACAAGGUACCCAGUCACUCUUGGGAACAUCGCCUAAGGACAACAGAUUAAGUCUUGAUAAGUCCCCUGUAGUUAAUGGCCUUGGUGUCUCUCGUCAAAGAGAGGCGUCAGACUUGGAGUUAGGUGAAUUUCGCGAGCCCACACCUGAGGAAACCCAUGUCGCAAAGCCAUUUGAACGAAAAGGUUCAUUUAAACAUUUCGAAACAAAAACACUUCAGAGGACAGGAAUUCAGAUAUUACUAAAGUAAAACCUUUAUUGAAAGCCACUUUAGAUUCAAGAAAGCAAUCCUCAGUCUUGGUAAGUUCUGGUUUUCCCGACAAUUUGGAAAGCACAGAUAAUCAUUUUGAAGAUUCAACAAAGUCUCGUUCUAGAGUUAUGCAGGCUCAUUCACAACAUUUGAAAUCAGAUAAUGCAGAAGCUGGAUCUCAAAAUAACUUGACAGAAAUUAAUAAAUUUAGAAAUAAUGAACCUGGGGUGAGCCAGGAUAUUGAUUUAAAUGGUCGUACUGAAAGCAAUAGAAGAGCACCUGCAAACGGAUCUAAACAAGACACAAGACGUGGAAUCAAUUCCUAUCCUGCGAAAGAAAGUAAAAGACAAACACCUUAUUCAUUGGAAGAGGUGGCUGAUGGAGGAAAGGAUUCCGUAUUUGCCGAUAGAAAUAGUAGCGAUCGAAAGAAGAGAGAAUCUUCAUCAGAUGAAAGUAGCUGUUCUUAUUCAAAGUACGAAAAGGAUGAACCUGAAUUGAAGGAGCCUAUAAUGACUUUUUCCCAAUAUAGAGAAUAUGUACAGGAAUUUCGUGAUAAAUAUGAUAGUUACUGCUCCCUGCACAAGAUUUUGGAGAGUUACAGGAACGAGUUUCAAAAACUAGGAGACAAAUUAGAAUAUGCUAAAGGCAUGGAUAGAUAUUAUGACAUCGUAGAACAGCUGAAGGAAUCCUAUCGUCGUUGUGGACCAAGACACAAGAGACUGAAGAAAAUAUUUGUUGUGCUUCACCAGGAACUGGAGAAUAUUAAGCAAAGGAUCAAAGACUAUGCCCACUCAUAUACUAAAGAGUGAAAAUACAAGAGGACUACAUUCAUAUACAUACAUAAAAUUGAAGUCUAGUGGUGGAUACAUGAAGCACAAUAGCGUAGAUGAAUUCUUUUGUAGAUUGUAUGCGUACUAGCUUCUAAUACCAAUUUUGAUAGAGCGGUAUAUUCAAUAUUGUACAUGGAUAAAAUUUUGUAAGCUGCCGAGAAAAAAGUAUAUGCAGUAAUAAUGUAAAGUAUUUUUACCUUCUCCAUUAUUCUCCUGAGCAUGUGUGUGUAGAUAAGCCUGACCAAUAUGUUUUGGGUUCAAUUAUGAAGUACGACUAGUGUAAUCCAAUCAUACUAUGCUAGUAGAAGAAAUAAUUACAUUCAUUUUAGUUUAAAUUA